RNAcentral lists this long non-coding RNA (508 nucleotides) under Phoenix dactylifera (date palm). RNAcentral describes it as "long non-coding RNA (PDAC_LNC022942)". Lineage: Eukaryota; Viridiplantae; Streptophyta; Magnoliopsida; Arecales; Arecaceae. The record is from RNAcentral.
AGCCUCCUAUCCUUGACCGGCGACGACCUCACCGGGCACUUCGCCGGUGGAAGAUGACCGUUAGACCACCUCCGAGAAGUUUCCUCUCCCCAGAGUUUCGUUUCCCCAGAGUUUCUCUCUCUAGAAACUAUCCGUUGCGUCUCCGGUCUUCGCCUUUCCCCAGAGUUUCCCCUUCGAUCAAAACCCUCAAAACCGUCACGCUCGGAGGAUUCUUGGAUCAAAAUCGGGGAGGCAGCGGCAGAGGCUGCCGGUGUACGACUGUCGACCACCCAAGUACCACAGGUUCGGAAUCCUUGAUAGCCUCGCGAAAAAUUUUAUUCUUGCUUUUUUUUCCUUAUACUUCCGCUACCCUCUUCAAGAAGUGAGUUUUUCUUGGAGUUCUCUUUGAAAUCUUUCUUGCGAUGGAGUUAGGGCAUUUUGAUUUCUUUUCGUGUUCAAUGCUUCCGGUACUCUCUUCAAGAAUUGGGUUCUUGGAGUUCUGUUGAAAUCUUUGUUGCAAUAGAGCAGG